This 163-nucleotide ribosomal RNA is filed under the name uncultured bacterium. Its description in RNAcentral is "partial 16S ribosomal RNA". It matches the Rfam family "Bacterial small subunit ribosomal RNA", at positions 1330 to 1500 of the family's 1533-position model. The record is from RNAcentral.
AUUCGCUAGUAAUCGCGCAUCAGCCAUGGCGCGGUGAAUACGUUCCCGGGCCUUGUACACACCGCCCGUCAAGCCAUGGGAGCCGGGGGCGCCUGAAGUCCGGGACCGCGAGGACCGGCCUAAGGCGAAACUGGUGACUGGGGCUAAGUCGUAACAAGGUAGC